GCCUGCUUCAGCAAUGCAUCUACUAGAGUUGAAAUGAUACAGAGAAGAUGGAGUGAUACUCGGGCCCUGUGCAAGAAUGACAUGCAAAUUCAUGAAGCAUUCUGCAUUAAA
Pteronotus mesoamericanus is the source of this 111-nucleotide small nuclear RNA. Lineage: Eukaryota; Metazoa; Chordata; Mammalia; Chiroptera; Mormoopidae. The record is from RefSeq and is a predicted model, not a curated record.